CCUACGGGUGGCAGCAGUGGGGAAUAUUGCACAAUGGGGGAAACCCUGAUGCAGCGACGCCGCGUGAGUGAAGAAGUAUUUCGGUACGUAAAGCUCUAUCAGCAGGGAAGAAACUGACGGUACCUGACUAAGAAGCUCCGGCUAACUACGGGCCAGCAGCCGCGGUCAUACGGCGGGGGCAAGCGUUCUCCGGAUUUAUUGGGUUUACAGGGUGCGCAGGCGGAUUUUUAAGGCAGCGGUCAAAUCGGGGGGCUCAACCCCAUCCAGCCGUUGAAACUGGGGAUCUAGAGUGUGCGAGAGGUAGGCGGAAUGCGUGGUGUAGCGGUGAAAUGCAUAGAUAUCACGCAGAACCCCGAUUGCGAAGGCAGCAUACCGGUGCACAACUGACGCUCAGGCACGAAAGCGUGGGUAUCGAACAGGAUUAGAUACCCCAGUAGUC
RNAcentral lists this ribosomal RNA (439 nucleotides) under uncultured bacterium. RNAcentral's name for it is "partial 16S ribosomal RNA". It matches the Rfam family "Bacterial small subunit ribosomal RNA", at positions 338 to 795 of the family's 1533-position model. The record is from RNAcentral.